This 506-nucleotide ribosomal RNA is filed under the name uncultured bacterium. RNAcentral describes it as "partial 16S ribosomal RNA". It matches the Rfam family "Bacterial small subunit ribosomal RNA", at positions 29 to 523 of the family's 1533-position model. The record is from RNAcentral.
AGUGAACGCUGGCGGUAGGCCUAACACAUGCAAGUCGAACGGCAGCACAGAGGAGCUUGCCCCUUGGGUGGCGAGUGGCGGACGGGUGAGGAAUACAUCGGAAUCUACUCUGUCGUGGGGGAUAACGUAGGGAAACUUACGCUAAUACCGCAUACGACCUACGGGUGAAAGCAGGGGACCUUCGGGCCUUGCGCGAUUGAAUGAGCCGAUGUCGGAUUAGCUAGUUGGCGGGGUAAAGGCCCACCAAGGCGACGAUCCGUAGCUGGUCUGAGAGGAUGAUCAGCCACGCUGGAACUGAGACACGGUCCAGACUCCUACGGGAGGUAGCAGUGGGGAAUAUUGGACAAUGGGCGCAAGCCUGAUCCAGCCAUACCGCGUGGGUGAAGAAGGCCUUCGGGUUGUAAAGCCCUUUUGUUGGGAAAGAAAUCCAGCUGGCUAAUACCCGGUUGGGAUGACGGUACCCAAAGAAUAAGCACCGGCUAACUUCGUGCCAGCCGCCGCCGUAA